Doryrhamphus excisus (bluestripe pipefish) is the source of this 1312-nucleotide non-coding RNA. NCBI's taxonomy places the organism in Eukaryota, Metazoa, Chordata, Actinopteri, Syngnathiformes, Syngnathidae. The record is from RefSeq and is a predicted model, not a curated record.
UCCAUUUUAAACAUUUUGUUUAAACUUUUUUUUCUAAGGUAAUUGUUAUCAACUCUGCUAGGAGGGUUGCUUAAAGACGUCAGCCCAUCGUGCAAAGAAUUACCACUUGUUAGCAUACAACAAAGAGGUUUAGCUGUAAACGUCUUGUUUUUCACAAACAUUCAGGACUUGUGGAACUUGUUGUGGGACAUUUAUUUCAAACUCGUUACAGGACUUCAUCACAUGAUUUUGGCUUAUCGUAGAACUUUCUGUCAGGUCAACUUUACCCGGAAAUGGAUGGUGAUGACGCACAUUUAGCUUUUAAAUGUACAAAGGUCACCUGGACAAUUGUGAGGCACGCAGCGGUGAUUAUUCCGCAAACGAAGCAGCUGGCGUAGAGAGCCAACUCCAGCAGCAGCAGCCCGCAGGGGUCGCUGUCUCUGCCGGUCCAGAUGGCUGAAUAGAACUCCCUCAGGGCUACCUCAGACACCUCAAUAAACCGCUCUGGGACCUGAUGGCAGAAAAUCAAACAACGUGAGCAGCUUUCACGGACUUCAUCCAUCAUCUGUAAGGUAGCACCACAGAGAUGAGGUGGAGAGAGGGAUGUGGAACAGGAUGAAGCGCCGUUAUCUCCCACUCUCAUCCCUCCAUCCCCUCCAUGCUCAAAACACACAGUGCCAGGAAAAGAGAUUGAUGAAUACAGGAGGAGGAAGAGGGAGGGUCACUCUUUUCCAUCCCCUCAACAAUAGAUGGAUGAUCUCUAUUUAUCCUCUAAUCGUAUAUCCCUCCUUUUUUCUACCCUCCACCACUAUUUUUCUUUUCUCUUGUCAGCUCUCUCCAUCCAUCCGUCUGUCUUUUCCACUCAUCCCUCACUCCUCUCUUCACUCCACCAAAGCCUCCUCUUCCAGCACCAAACAUGGUGCUGUAAUUGGAGGUUGCUCACACUGAUGAGACACUCAUAGGACACAGCAUGAGGUACAACCAUGCAAAUGAAUGCCUGUUAAUUCAUAGAUUCUUUUCAAACAUCCUCUAUACAGCCCUGAUCAAAAUCUUAAGACCAGUUGAAAAAAUGCACAUUUGGCCCUUUAAUGGGGUUUUAAGUAGGGCUACAAUAUGUAAAUGUAAGAAGGGGGAAUGAGACUAAAAAUAUUUGGAACUUCAAAACAAAAUAUUAAGACCACAUACUAUAAAAUGCUCUGCUCAAUAUUCUCAUUUUCUGUCAGGCAUUCACACUGUCAUGCCCCCCUGAUGGCUAAAGCUUUAAGGCUAGCUCUUUAAGGAUGGCCCUUUAAGGCUGGCCCUUUAAGGAUGCCCUUUAAGGCUGGCCCUUUAA